CACUUCUAAGGAAGGCAGCAGGCGCGCAAAUUACCCAAUCCUGACUCAGGGAGGUAGUGACAAGAAAUAACAAUAAACCGGCUUAUGCCGGUUUAAUUGGAAUGAGUACAAUUUAAACAUCUUAACGAGGAACAAUUGGAGGGCAAGUCUGGUGCCAGCAGCCGCGGUAAUUCCAGCUCCAAUAGCGUAUACUAAAGUUGUUGCAGUUAAAAAGCUCGUAGUUGGAUUUCUGUGGGGACGGAGCGGCCGGCCGCAACUCGCGGUUCGAGCUAGCGCUUUCCCUACAUCCUGCCGCGAACCGUGCUACCAUUAAUUUGGUGGCGCUGGGGAUCGGCUCGAUUACUUUGAGAAAAAUAGAGUGUUCAAAGCAGGCCACACGCCUUGAAUAAGUUAGCAUGGAAUAAUAACUAAGGACUUCGGUUCUAUUUUGUUGGUGUUCGGGACUGAAGUAAUGAUUGAUAGGGACAGUUGGGGCGGUCUGUAUUCCAAAGCGAGAGGUGAAAUUCUUAGACCUUCGGAAGACAAACAGCUGCGAAAGCGUUCCGCAAGGAUGUUCCCUUUGAUCAAGAACGAAAGUUGGGGGAUCGAAGACGAUCAGAUACCGUCGUAGUCUCAACUAUAAACUAUACCAGCUAGGGAUCGGCCAACGUUAUUUAAACCGACUUGGUCGGCACCUUAUGAGAAAUCAAAGCAUCUGGGUUCCGGGGGGAGUAUGGUCGCAAGGCUGAAACUUAAAGGAAUUGACGGAAGGGCACCACCAGCCGUGGAGCCUGUGGCUUAAUUUGACUCAACACGGGAAAACUUACCAGGUCCAGACAUAGUAAGGAUUGACAGAUUGAUAGCUCUUUCUUGAUUCUGUGGGUGGUGGUGCAUGGCCGUUCUUAGUUGGUGGAGUGAUUUGUCUGGUUAAUUCCGUUAACGAACGAGACCCCAGCCUGCUAAAUAGCGCGCGUGAGCUUUGCUCGCGGCGAGCUUCUUAGAGGGACUCUGAUGCGCGAUAGCACAUGGAAGUUUGGGGCAAUAACAGGUCUGUGAUGCCCUUAGAUGUUCUGGGCCGCACACGGGCUACACUGGCGCCUGCAACGAGCAUAUCAGCUGGCCCGAGAGGGUCUUGGCUAAUCUUUUGAACCGGCGCCGUGCUUGGGAUUGACCUUUGCAAUUGUUGGUCAUGCAACGAGGAAUGCCUUGUAAACGCGAGUCAUCAGCUCGCAUUGAAUACGUCCCUGCCCUUUGUACACACCGCCCGUCGCUCCUACCGAUGAAUGUUCCGAUGAAAUUUUCGGAGAGCACCUGUGAACUUGGCUCUGCCUUGCGAACGGGAGGCUCAAAGUCACUUAAAUCUGAACAUUUCGA
RNAcentral lists this ribosomal RNA (1353 nucleotides) under uncultured marine eukaryote. RNAcentral's name for it is "SSU rRNA". It matches the Rfam family "Eukaryotic small subunit ribosomal RNA", at positions 411 to 1777 of the family's 1831-position model. The record is from RNAcentral.